UUCCUUGUCUUUUGGAACGCUCACUCUGG
This 29-nucleotide non-coding RNA is filed under the name Mus musculus (house mouse). Lineage: Eukaryota; Metazoa; Chordata; Mammalia; Rodentia; Muridae. The record is from RNAcentral.